RNAcentral lists this ribosomal RNA (462 nucleotides) under uncultured bacterium. Its description in RNAcentral is "partial 16S ribosomal RNA". It matches the Rfam family "Bacterial small subunit ribosomal RNA", at positions 28 to 507 of the family's 1533-position model. The record is from RNAcentral.
GACGAACGCUGGCGGCGUGCUUAACACAUGCAAGUCGAGCGGAAAGGCCCUUCGGGGUACUCGAGCGGCGAACGGGUGAGUAACACGUGAGUAACCUGCCCCAGACUUUGGGAUAACCCUCGGAAACGGGGGCUAAUACCGGAUACGACACAGCUUCGCAUGGGGUCUGUGUGGAAAGUUUUUCGGUUGGGGAUGGGCUCGCGGCCUAUCAGCUUGUUGGUGGGGUGAUGGCCUACCAAGGCGACGACGGGUAGCCGGCCUGAGAGGGCGACCGGCCACACUGGGACUGAGACACGGCCCAGACUCCUACGGGAGGCAGCAGUGGGGAAUAUUGCACAAUGGGCGGAAGCCUGAUGCAGCGACGCCGCGUGAGGGAUGACGGCCUUCGGGUUGUAAACCUCUUUCAGCAGGGACGAAGCGUAAGUGACGGUACCUGCAGAAGAAGCGCCGGCCAACUACGUG